Molecule: long non-coding RNA, 1800 nt
Filed under: Elaeis guineensis (African oil palm)
Lineage: Eukaryota; Viridiplantae; Streptophyta; Magnoliopsida; Arecales; Arecaceae
Description: long non-coding RNA (EGUI_LNC011672)
Source: RNAcentral
CAAGAACUCAAGAAGCUGGCAAGCAAUUGUCAAUCAUCACACUGUACUCAGCUGAAUGGUCUUUCUGAGACUACCUAAGAACCAGCACACACAAUCAUGAUUGAAGUCUAAAGAUUGAAAGACUGGCAGAGAUAUAUAUAUGCAGCUUCAUAAAUUAAAGGAUUGGAUCCAUCAGUUGUUGCUUUUAAUGCAAAUUCUUUUCUCAAGGACAUUCCAGAUACUUGUUGGAUUCACGUUAAUUAUUCAAAAAUGACUUUAAAAAAAAAAUAGUUCCAUAUUUAAGGUUACAUUCUGUCGUUGGCUCUUAAGCUAGAGUAUAACUACUCCUGAUUAAGUACAAUCUAAGAUGCUAGAUUUCCUGAUUCAUAACUGUUGGUUAAUAUUUUCAUGAUUAAAUACUCCGUAAUCUCAAGGUAUCAAAAAAGAUAAGAUCCAGAGGACAACUAACUAAAUAUAUGCAGAAAACCAAAAUCAUUAAUUCCACAAUAUUUGCAAGCAAUCCAUAGCCAUGCAAUUAUGAUGAAAGUUGACAAAUGAGAACAUGUAAAUAGACAAAAGGAUCUCUACUAAUGGAUGCCAACAUGACAUUUAUUACUGCUAUAUUUUUAGGAUCAGAUCUUCUGAUCUAGAACCUCAGUGAGUGCCAAGUCAUGAUAAUCCAUCAACUCUGUUGCUGGAGUGAAAAUAAUCAAGACUCUCAUAAGUUCAUAUGGCUAAUUGGCACGCAUGUUCUUAUAUAAGGUUUCUUUUGGCCAUCUUUUGGUACCAAUCCUUUGAGAGAGCAAAGCAUUCUAUCAAAUAAAAGACAAACUUAUGUUCCUUGACUUUCUUCUUUCAGAGGGGAAGGGGGGGCAUCUCUAGCCGCCUGCAAAGAAAAUAUCCUUUUUCACAAAUUUGUCCUUUCCCUCCCUUUCCUAUGCAUCCUGAUAAUAGGACAAUGUAAAUUAUUUGUGAACCAGGCAGCAUUAACUCUUUUACCUUCUUGUUUCCCUUGAGAUGUUAGCUAACUCAAAGGCAUGGUUCAUAUAUAAGUAAAUUUACCAAUUAUGAUGGUUCGAAUACAACCUUUUCCUCUCAACGCAUCUAAAUAACAAAGAGAGUGUCCAAAAGUAUAAUAAGGGAUUUGAGAUCAAGUUAUAUUUAUCAUUUAAUAUGCCUUUUUGUUUACUUCCAUGAUCUUUUCAAUUAAAAGGCUCCAAAAAACUGAGUGACAUCUCAAGUUUAUCGAUUGUGAAUUCUUUGUAACGAAUAAGGGAACCUUGCAAUCUCGAACCCGAUCAGCAUAACCAUUGCACAACAACAAGAAAGAAAGAAUAUUAUUAGAAACACUAAUUCCAAAAAAGAAUAUUAAUAGAAAGACGAAAUAUGAUUUAAACUGUCAUCAUCACUAAGAAUAUAGGACGACAGCAGCGUCGAAUCAAUAGAACGCAAAUAGAUGAAAGAUCUCAGAAUACUUACAACUACAACAAGUGGAGAGAUAAAAGAAUAUCGACACUAGCACGAACUAAUUCCUAUGAAAACCAUUACUUUUUGAAGCUCUACCAUUGCGAUUGCAUGCAUUAUGAGUGGCAGAGGACUGGAAACUUUCCUGUCUUCUCCUUCUCUGGAAAUCCUGGAGGGUGACGGCGCCUGGGGCUACAGAGAGGGAUCAUUUCGUUCUAUCUGAACCGUUGAAAUAAUUGGUUAUUCUCGGUCUAGGACCGAGAUAUUGUUAAAUCGCCAGAAGACGAACACUGUGCUGUCUUGCCCUUGAGCCCAACCAAACGCGUUUGGUCUCCAUUUUUAUAAUUUUUGACCACA